This 45-nucleotide non-coding RNA is filed under the name Schistosoma bovis. RNAcentral also lists the same sequence under 1 other name. Lineage: Eukaryota; Metazoa; Platyhelminthes; Trematoda; Strigeidida; Schistosomatidae. The record is from RNAcentral.
AUCCAGCUGACGAAUCCCAAAUAGAACAAAAUGUAAUUCCUGGAU